UUAGGAAUGAUUUAGUCAUCGCAAGAUCGGUGGUUCCCAGUCGCAAGAUCAGUUGUUUUUUCCUGCUCUCCUAAAC
Molecule: transfer RNA, 76 nt
Filed under: Toona ciliata
Lineage: Eukaryota; Viridiplantae; Streptophyta; Magnoliopsida; Sapindales; Meliaceae
Also listed under: 2 other names
Description: tRNA-Gly
Source: RNAcentral